This 545-nucleotide ribosomal RNA is filed under the name Penicillium expansum. RNAcentral's name for it is "eukaryotic LSU rRNA". The stretch from base 176 to 328 matches the Rfam family "5.8S ribosomal RNA". The record is from RNAcentral. Lineage: Eukaryota; Fungi; Ascomycota; Eurotiomycetes; Eurotiales; Aspergillaceae.
GUUCCGGGGUGAGGGCUUUGGGUCACCUCCCACCCGUGUUUAUUUACCUCGUUGCUUCGGCGGGCCCGCCUUAACUGGCCGCCGGGGGGCUCACGCCCCCGGGCCCGCGCCCGCCGAAGACACCCCCGAACUCUGCCUGAAGAUUGUCGUCUGAGUGAAAAUAUAAAUUAUUUAAAACUUUCAACAACGGAUCUCUUGGUUCCGGCAUCGAUGAAGAACGCAGCGAAAUGCGAUACGUAAUGUGAAUUGCAAAUUCAGUGAAUCAUCGAGUCUUUGAACGCACAUUGCGCCCCCUGGUAUUCCGGGGGGCAUGCCUGUCCGAGCGUCAUUGCUGCCCUCAAGCCCGGCUUGUGUGUUGGGCCCCGUCCUCCGAUUCCGGGGGACGGGCCCGAAAGGCAGCGGCGGCACCGCGUCCGGUCCUCGAGCGUAUGGGGCUUUGUCACCCGCUCUGUAGGCCCGGCCGGCGCUUGCCGAUCAACCCAAAUUUUUAUCCAGGUUGACCUCGGAUCAGGUAGGGAUACCCGCUGAACUUAAGCAUAUCAAAA